AGACUUUGAUCCUGGCUCAGAUUGAACGCUGGCGGAAUGCUUUACACAUGCAAGUCGAACGGCAGCACGGGUGCUUGCACCUGGUGGCGAGUGGCGAACGGGUGAGUAAUGCGUCGGAACGUACCGAGUAAUGGGGGAUAACGCAGCGAAAGUUGUGCUAAUACCGCAUACGCCCUGAGGGGGAAAGUGGGGGAUCGCAAGACCUCACGUUAUUCGAGCGGCCGACGUCUGAUUAGCUAGUUGGUGGGGUAAUGGCCCACCAAGGCGACGAUCAGUAGCGGGUCUGAGAGGAUGAUCCGCCACACUGGGACUGAGACACGGCCCAGACUCCUACGGGAGGCAGCAGUGGGGAAUUUUGGACAAUGGGGGCAACCCUGAUCCAGCCAUUCCGCGUGAGUGAAGAAGGCCUUCGGGUUGUAAAGCUCUUUCAGCUGGAGAGAAACGGUUCGCUCUAACAUAGCGGGCUAAUGACGGUACCAGCAGAAGAAGCACCGGCUAACUACGUGCCAGCAGCCGCGGUAAUACGUAGGGUGCGAGCGUUAAUC
RNAcentral lists this ribosomal RNA (545 nucleotides) under uncultured beta proteobacterium. RNAcentral's name for it is "bacterial SSU rRNA". It matches the Rfam family "Bacterial small subunit ribosomal RNA", at positions 8 to 546 of the family's 1533-position model. Lineage: Bacteria; Pseudomonadati; Pseudomonadota; Betaproteobacteria. The record is from RNAcentral.